RNAcentral lists this non-coding RNA (32 nucleotides) under Geobacter sulfurreducens KN400. The record is from RNAcentral. Lineage: Bacteria; Pseudomonadati; Thermodesulfobacteriota; Desulfuromonadia; Geobacterales; Geobacteraceae.
UGAAUGAAGCGCAAUACCUUGUCGAUAUGGAC